AUUUCAGUGAGACUUAUGAUUAUUACUGUAACAGGUGGCACCAUUAGGUGUCGCACUCUCUCCAGCCUGUGCCUCCAUAAAAGGGAAGCUGGAAGACCAGCUGUGUGUUGGGCCCACGCUGUUUGCUGGCUGUGGACUGCAUUGUUGAUGGUGUUGGCUGGUAGCGUUACCUGGGCGUGGUUGUUCGACGCCGCAGCGUUGCACCAGAUUGGAUACACCAAGGUUUGAUCUGAGAGUGUUGAUUUAUGCAAUGCAGUGUAAGCAGAUUAAUCUGAAAGAGGAAGCCAGGAGUUAGAAAAUCUAAAGACUUUCCUGUCUCAGAAGAGACUCUGGCUCCACCAGGUCACCAACCAGCUCUGAGGAUGAAGCUCCACAUCGUCUUCAUGGUGGAAGGAUUUUUAUUUUUACUGAGCAGCUGGCUACAUUUUUAACAGCAAAAACUGGGCCUGUGAUGGACUGGUGACCUGUCCAGGGUGAACCCUGCCUCUCAUCUGAUGACAGCUGGAGAUGGGCACCACUUUUUAGAUUAUCAUGCAGAGAAAAUGGAGUACUUAUAAUUAUCUUGCCACCCAGAAAAGGAUUUACAAUAAACUUAUAAUCCAGAAAAACUA
This is a long non-coding RNA of Xiphophorus couchianus (Monterrey platyfish), 611 nucleotides long. RefSeq lists it as uncharacterized. The record is from RefSeq and is a predicted model, not a curated record. The transcript has 5 exons. NCBI's taxonomy places the organism in Eukaryota, Metazoa, Chordata, Actinopteri, Cyprinodontiformes, Poeciliidae.